Molecule: ribosomal RNA, 417 nt
Filed under: uncultured bacterium
Lineage: Bacteria
Description: bacterial SSU rRNA
Rfam family: Bacterial small subunit ribosomal RNA
Source: RNAcentral
GCCGAAAGGCGGGGGUGCCCGCAAGGGAGCGCGGAGACAGGUGGUGCAUGGCUGUCGUCAGCUCGUGUCGUGAGAUGUUGGGUUAAGUCCCGCAACGAGCGCAACCCUCACCCCUUGUUGCCACCAGGUCAUGCUGGGCACUCUAGGGGAACUGCCCCGGUCAACGGGGAGGAAGGCGGGGAUGACGUCAAGUCAUCAUGCCCCUUACGUCCUGGGCUACACACGUGCUACAAUGGCCGGUACAAAGGGAUGCAAGACCGCGAGGUGGAGCUAAACCCAAAAAGCCGGUCUAAGUUCAGAUUGGAGUCUGCAACUCGACUCCAUGAAGGAGGAAUCGCUAGUAAUCGCGCAUCAGCACGGCGCGGUGAAUACGUUCCCGGGCCUUGUACACACCGCCCGUCACACCACGAAAGCCAG